Molecule: ribosomal RNA, 202 nt
Filed under: uncultured bacterium
Lineage: Bacteria
Description: partial 16S ribosomal RNA
Rfam family: Bacterial small subunit ribosomal RNA
Source: RNAcentral
CCCUACUCCUACGGGAGGCAGCAGUAGGGAAUCUUCCACAAUGGACGCAAGUCUGAUGGAGCAACGCCGCGUGAGUGAAGAAGGUUUUCGGAUCGUAAAGCUCUGUUGUUGGUGAAGAAAGAUAGUGAGUAGUAACUGCUCAUUAUUGCCGGUAAUCAACCAGAAAGUCACGGCUAACUACGUGCCAGCAGCCGCGGUAAUA